This 468-nucleotide ribosomal RNA is filed under the name uncultured bacterium. Its description in RNAcentral is "partial 16S ribosomal RNA". It matches the Rfam family "Bacterial small subunit ribosomal RNA", at positions 28 to 507 of the family's 1533-position model. The record is from RNAcentral.
GUCGAACGCUGGCGGCGUGCUUAACACAUGCAAGUCGAACGGAAAGGCCCUGCUUUUGUGGGGUGCUCGAGUGGCGAACGGGUGAGUAACACGUGAGUAACCUGCCCUUGACUUUGGGAUAACUUCAGGAAACUGGGGCUAAUACCGGAUAGGAGCUCCUGCUUCAUGGUGGGGGUUGGAAAGUUUCGGCGGUUGGGGAUGGACUCGCGGCUUAUCAGCUUGUUGGUGGGGUAGUGGCUUACCAAGGCUUUGACGGGUAGCCGGCCUGAGAGGGUGACCGGCCACAUUGGGACUGAGAUACGGCCCAGACUCCUACGGGAGGCAGCAGUGGGGAAUAUUGCACAAUGGGCGGAAGCCUGAUGCAGCAACGCCGCGUGCGGGAUGACGGCCUUCGGGUUGUAAACCGCUUUCGCCUGUGACGAAGCGUGAGUGACGGUAAUGGGUAAAGAAGCACCGGCUAACUACGUG